GCACCUAUAGCUCAGCUGGAUAGAGCGCUGCCCUCCGAAGGCAGAGGUCACAGGUUCGAAUCCUGUUAGGUGCGCCA
Molecule: transfer RNA, 77 nt
Filed under: Henriciella barbarensis
Lineage: Bacteria; Pseudomonadati; Pseudomonadota; Alphaproteobacteria; Hyphomonadales; Hyphomonadaceae
Also listed under: 7 other names
Description: tRNA-Arg
Rfam family: tRNA
About the family: Transfer RNA (tRNA) molecules are approximately 80 nucleotides in length. Their secondary structure includes four short double-helical elements and three loops (D, anti-codon, and T loops).
Source: RNAcentral